GACGAACGCUGGCGGCGUGCUUAACACAUGCAAGUCGAACGAUGAAGCCUAGCUUGCUAGGUGGAUUAGUGGCGAACGGGUGAGUAAUACGUGAGUAACCUACCUUUAACUCUGGGAUAAGCCUGGGAAACUGGGUCUAAUACCGGAUACGACCAAUCUCCGCAUGGGGUGUUGGUGGAAAGCGUUAUGUAGUGGUUAUAGAUGGGCUCACGGCCUAUCAGCUUGUUGGUGAGGUAACGGCUCACCAAGGCGACGACGGGUAGCCGGCCUGAGAGGGUGACCGGCCACACUGGGACUGAGACACGGCCCAGACUCCUACGGGAGGCAGCAGUGGGGAAUAUUGCACAAUGGGCGCAAGCCUGAUGCAGCGACGCCGCGUGAGGGAUGACGGCCUUCGGGUUGUAAACCUCUGUUAGCAGGGAAGAAGAGAGAUUGACGGUACCUGCAGAGAAAGCGCCGGCUAACUACGUGCCAGCAGCCGCGGUAAUACGUAGGGCGCGAGCGUUGUCCGGAAUUAUUGGGCGUAAAGAGCUUGUAGGCGGUUUGUCGCGUCUGCUGUGAAAGGCCGGAGCUUAACUCCGUGUAUUGCAGUGGGUACGGGCAGACUAGAGUGCAGUAGGGGAGACUGGAAUUCCUGGUGUAGCGGUGGAUGCGCAGAUAUCAGGAGGAACACCGAUGGCGAAGGCAGGUCUCUGGGCUGUAACUGACGCUGAGAAGCGAAAGCAUGGGGAGCGAACAGGAUUAGAUACCCUGGUAGUCCAUGCCGUAAACGUUGGGCACUAGGUGUGGGGAACAUUCCACGUUUUCCGCGCCGUAGCUAACGCAUUAAGUGCCCCGCCUGGGGAGUACGGCCGCAAGGCUAAAACUCAAAGAAAUUGACGGGGGCCCGCACAAGCGGCGGAGCAUGCGGAUUAAUUCGAUGCAACGCGAAGAACCUUACCAAGGCUUGACAUAUACUGGACCGCAUCAGAGAUGGUGUUUCCCUUCGGGGCUGGUAUACAGGUGGUGCAUGGUUGUCGUCAGCUCGUGUCGUGAGAUGUUGGGUUAAGUCCCGCAACGAGCGCAACCCUCGUUCUAUGUUGCCAGCACGUUAUGGUGGGGACUCAUAGGAGACUGCCGGGGUCAACUCGGAGGAAGGUGGGGAUGACGUCAAAUCAUCAUGCCCCUUAUGUCUUGGGCUUCACGCAUGCUACAAUGGCCGGUACAGAGGGUUGCGAUACUGUGAGGUGGAGCUAAUCCCUAAAAGCCGGUCUCAGUUCGGAUUGGGGUCUGCAACUCGACCCCAUGAAGUCGGAGUCGCUAGUAAUCGCAGAUCAGCAACGCUGCGGUGAAUACGUUCCCGGGCCU
This 1347-nucleotide ribosomal RNA is filed under the name uncultured bacterium. RNAcentral's name for it is "bacterial SSU rRNA". It matches the Rfam family "Bacterial small subunit ribosomal RNA", at positions 28 to 1381 of the family's 1533-position model. The record is from RNAcentral.